RNAcentral lists this long non-coding RNA (4693 nucleotides) under Vitis vinifera (wine grape). Its description in RNAcentral is "long non-coding RNA (VVIN_LNC008028)". The record is from RNAcentral. Lineage: Eukaryota; Viridiplantae; Streptophyta; Magnoliopsida; Vitales; Vitaceae.
CCUUUUCCCGGUACUCGCCCGGAUUCUAUUAUUUUUCGGUACUCACAUUGAUUCGACCAUUUUUUUGUAAUCGCCGGGACAGUUUUUCAAUACUCGCACGGAUUCUUCCUUUUCCCGGUACUCUUCCGGAUUCUACUAUUUUUUGGUACUCACACUGAUUCGACCCUUUUCCGGUACUCGUCAGGACAAUUUUUCGAUACUCGCAUGGAUUCAACCUUUUCCCGGUACUCGCCCGGAUUCUAUCAUUUUUCCGUACUCACAUUGAUUCGACCAUUUUUUUCUAAUCGCCGAGACAGUUUUUCGAUAGUCGCACGGAUUCUACCUUUUCCCGGUACUCUCCCGGAUUCUACUAUUUUUCGGUACUCACACUGAUUCGACCCUUCUCCGGUACUCGUCAGGACAAUUUUUCAGUACUCGCAUGGAUUCUACCUUUUCCCGGUACUCGCCCGGAUUCUAUCAUUUUACGGUACUCACAUUGAUUCGACCAUUUUUUUGUAAUAGCCGGGACUGGUUUUCGAUACUUGCACGGAUUCUAUCUUUUCCCGGUAGUCUCCCAGAUUCUACUAUUUGUCGGUACUCACACUGAUUCGAGCCUUUUCCGGUACUCGACCGGACAAUUUUUCGAUACUCGCAUGGAUACUUCCUUUUCCUGGUACUCGCCCGGAUUCUAUUAUUUUUCGGUACUCACAUUGAUUCGACCAUUUUUUUGUAAUCCCCGGGAAAGUUUUUCANNNNNNNNNNNNNNNNNNNNNNNNNNNNNNNNNNNNNNNNNNNNNNNNNNNNNNNNNNNNNNNNNNNNNNNNNNNNNNNNNNNNNNNNNNNNNNNNNNNNCAUUUUACGGUACUCACAUGAUCGACCAUUUUUGUAUAGCCGGGACUGGUUUUCGAUACUUGCACGGAUUCUAUCUUUUCCCGGUAGUCUCCCAGAUUCUACUAUUUGUCGGUACUCACACUGAUUCGAGCCUUUUCCGGUACUCGACCGGACAAUUUUUCGAUACUCGCAUGGAUACUUCCUUUUCCUGGUACUCGCCCGGAUUCUAUUAUUUUUCGGUACUCACAUUGAUUCGACCAUUUUUUUGUAAUCGCCUGGACAGUUUUUCAAUACUCGCACGGAUUCUUCCUUUUCCCGGUACUCUUCCAGAUUCUACUAUUUUUUGGUACUCACACUUAUUCGACCCUUCUCCGGUACUCGUCAGGACAAUUUUUCAAUACUCGCAUGGAUUCUACCUUUUCCCGGUACUCGCCCGGAUUCCAUCAUUUUUCGGUACUCACAUUGAUUCGACCAUUUUUUUCUAAUAGCCGGGACUGGUUUUCGAUACUCGCACGGAUUCUAUCUUUUCCCGGUAGUCUCCCAGAUUCUACUAUUUUUCGGUACUCACACUGAUUCGAGCCUUUUCCGGUACUCGACAGGACAAUUUUUCGAUACUCCCAUGGAUACUUCCUUUUCCUGGUACUCGCCCGGAUUCUAUUAUUUUUCAGUUCUCACAUUGAUUCGACCAUUUUUUUGUAAUCGCCGGGAAAGUUUUUCAAUACUCGCACGGAUUCUUCCUUUUCCCGGUACUCUUCCGGAUUCUACUAUUUUUUGGUGCUCACACUGAUUCGACCCUUCUCCGGUACUCGUCAGGACAAUUUUUCAAUACUCGCAUGGAUUCUACCUUUUCCCGGUACUCGCCCGGAUUCUACCAUUUUUCGGUACUCACAUUGAUUCGACCAUUUUUUUCUAAUCGCCGAGACAGUUUUUCGAUAGUCGCACGGAUUCUACCUUUUCCCGGUACUCUCCCGGAUUCUACAAUUUUUCGGUACUCACACUGAUUCGACCCUUCUCCGGUACUCGUCAGGACAAUUUUUCAAUACUCGCAUGGAUUCUACCUUUUCCCGGUACUCGCCCGGGAUUCUAUCAUUUUUCGGUACUCACAUUGAUUCGACCAUUUUUUUGUAAUAGCCCGGGACUGGUUUNNNNNNNNNNNNNNNNNNNNNNNNNNNNNNNNNNNNNNNNNNNNNNNNNNNNNNNNNNNNNNNNNNNNNNNNNNNNNNNNNNNNNNNNNNNNNNNNNNNNNNNNNNNNNNNNNNUCAGGACCAUUUUUUGAUACUGCAUGGAUUUUACUUUUCUCGGGUACUCGCCCGGAUUUAUCAUUUUCGGUACUCACAAUGAUUCGACCAUUUUUUUGUAAUUAGCCGGGAUUGGUUUUUGAUACUCGCACGGAUUCUACCUUUUCCCAGUACUCACCCGGAUCUACUAUUUUUCGGUACUCACACUGAUUCGAGCCUUUUCCGGUACUCGACAGGACAAUUUUUCGAUACUCGCAUGGAUACUUCCUUUUCCUGGUACUCGCCCGGAUUCUAUUAUUUUUCGGUACUCACAUUGAUUCGACCAUUUUUUUGUAAUCGCCGGGAAAGUUUUUCAAUACUCGCACGGAUUCUUCCUUUUCCUGGUGCUCUUCCGGAUUCUACUAUUUUUUGGUACUCACACUGAUUCGACCCUUCUCCGGUACUCGUCAGGACAAUUUUUCAAUACUCGCAUGAUUCUACCUUUUCCCGGUACUUGCCCGGAUUCUAUCAUUUUUCGGUACUCACAUUGAUUCGACCAUUUUUUUGUAAUAGCCGGGAUUGGUUUUCGAUACUCGCACGGAUUCUACCUUUUCCCAGUACUCACCCGGAUUCUACUAUUUUUCGGUACUCACACUGAUUGACCCUUUUCCGGAACUUGUGAGGACAAUUUUUCGAUACUCACAUGGAUUCUACCUUUUCCCGGUACUCGCCCGGAUUCUAUCAUUUUUCAGUUCUCACAUUGAUUCGACCAUUUUUUUGUAAUCGCCGGGAAAAUUUUUCAAGACUCGCACGGAUUCUUCUUUUUCCCGGUACUCUUCCGGAUUCUACUAUUUUUUUGUGCUCACACUGAUUCGACCCUUCUCCGGUACUCGUCAGGACAAUUUUUCAAUACUCGCAUGGAUUCUACCUUUUCCCAUUACUCGCCCGGAUUCUAUCAUUUUUCGGCACUCACAUUGAUUUGACCAUUUUUUUCUAAUCGCCGAGACAGUUUUUCGAUAGUCGCACGGAUUCUACCUUUUCCCGGUACUCUCCCGGAUUCUACUAUUUUUCGGUACUCACACUAAUUCGAGCCUUUUCCGCUACUCGACAGGACAAUUUUUCGAUACUCUCAUGGAUACUUCCUUUUCCUGGUACUCGCCCGGAUUCUAUUAUUUUUCGGUACUCACAUUGAUUCGACCAUUUUUUUGUAAUCGCCGGGAAAGUUUUUCAAUACACACACGGAUUCUUCCUUUUCCCGGUACUCUUCCGGAUUCUACUAUUUUUUGGUACUCACACUGAUUCGACCCUUCUCCGGUACUCGUCAGGACAAUUUUUCAAUACUCGCACAAUUCUACCUUUUCCCGGUACUUGCCCCGAUUCUAUCAUUUUUCGGUACUCACAUUGAUUCGACCAUUUUUUUGUAAUAGCCGGGAUUUGUUUUCGAUACUCGCACGGAUUCUACCUUUUCCCAGUACUCACCCGGAUUCUACUAUUUUUCGGUACUCACACUGAUUCGAGCCUUUUCCGGUACUCGAUAGGACAAUUUUUCGAUACUCGCAUGGAUACUUCCUUUUCCUGGUACUCGCCCGGAUUCUAUUAUUUUUCGGUACUCACAUUGAUUCGACCAUUUUUUUGUAAUCGCCGGCAAAGUUUUUCAAUACUGGACGGAUUCUUCCUUUUCCCGGUACUCUUCCGGAUUCUACUAUUUUUCGGUACUCACACUAUUGACCCUUUUCCGGUACUCGUGAGGACAAUUUUUCGAUACUCACAUGGAUUCUACCUUUUCCCGGUACUCACCCGGAUUCUAUCAUUUUUCAGUACUCACAUUGAUUCGACCAUUUUUUUCUAAUCGCCGGGACAGUUUUUCAAUACUCGCACGUAUUCUUCCUUUUCCCGGUACUCGUCAGGACAAUUUUUCGAUACACGCAUGGAUUCUACCUUUUCCCGAUACUCGCCCGGAUUCUAUUAUUUUUCGGUACUCACAUUGAUUCGACCAUUUUUUUGUAAUCGCCGGGAAAGUUUUUCAAUAGUCGCACGGAUUCUUCCUUUUCUCGGUACUCUUCCGGAUUCUACUAUUUUUUGGUACUCACACUGAUUCGACCCUUCUCCGGUACUCGUCAGGACAAUUUUUCAAUACUCGCAUGGAUUCUACCUUUUCCCGGUACUCGCCCGGAUUCUAUCAUUUCUCGGUACUCACAUUGAUUCGACCAUUUUUUUGUAAUAGCCGGGAAUGGUUUUCGAUACUCGCACGGAUUCUUCCUUUUCCCGGUACUCUUCCGGAUUCUACUAUUUUUUGGUGCUCACACUGAUUCGACCCUUUUCCGGUACUCGUCAGGACAAUUUUUCAAUACUCGCAUGGAUUCUACCUUUUCCCGGUACUCGCCGGAUUCUAUCAUUUUUCGGUACUCACAUUGAUUCGACCAUUUUUUUCUAAUCGCCGAGACAGUUUUUCGAUAGUCGCACGAAUUCUACCUUUUCCCGGUACUCUCCCGGAUUCUACAAUUUUUCGGUACUCACACUGAUUCGACCCUUCUCCGGUACUCGUCAGGACAAUUUUUCAAUACUCGCAUGGAUUCUACCUUUUCCCGGUACUCGCCCGGAUUCUAUCAUAUUUCGGUACUCACAUUGAUUCGACCAUUUUUUUGUAAUAGCCGGGACUGGUUUUC